UACGUAGGGGGCAAGCGUUAUCCGGAAUUACUGGGUGUAAAGGGUGAGUAGGCGGCAUGGUAAGCCAGAUGUGAAAGCCUUGGGCUUAACCCGAGGAUUGCAUUUGGAACUAUCAAGCUAGAGUACAGGAGAGGAAAGCGGAAUUCCUAAUGUAGCGGUGAAAUGCGUAGAUAUUAGGAAGAACACCAGUGGCGAAGGCGGCUUUCUGGACUGAAACUGACGCUGAGGCACGAAAGCGUGGGGAGCGAACAGG
This 253-nucleotide ribosomal RNA is filed under the name uncultured bacterium. Its description in RNAcentral is "partial 16S ribosomal RNA". It matches the Rfam family "Bacterial small subunit ribosomal RNA", at positions 524 to 776 of the family's 1533-position model. The record is from RNAcentral.